GACGAACGCUUUCGGCUUUCUUAACACAUGCAAGUCGAACGGAAAGGCCCUGCUUUUGUGGGGUGCUCGAGUGGCGAACGGGUGAGUAACACGUGAGUAACCUGCCCUUGACUUUGGGAUAACUUCAGGAAACUGGGGCUAAUACCGGAUAGGAGCUCCUGCUGCAUGGUGGGGGUUGGAAAGUUUCGGCGGUUGGGGAUGGACUCGCGGCUUAUCAGCUUGUUGGUGGGGUAGUGGCUUACCAAGGCUUUGACGGGUAGCCGGCCUGAGAGGGUGACCGGCCACAUUGGGACUGAGAUACGGCCCAGACUCCUACGGGAGGCAGCAGUGGGGAAUAUUGCACAAUGGGCGGAAGCCUGAUGCAGCAACGCCGCGUGCGGGAUGACGGCCUUCGGGUUGUAAACCGCUUUCGCCUGUGACGAAGCGUGAGUGACGGUAAUGGGUAAAGAAGCACCGGCUAACUACGUG
This 468-nucleotide ribosomal RNA is filed under the name uncultured bacterium. Its description in RNAcentral is "partial 16S ribosomal RNA". It matches the Rfam family "Bacterial small subunit ribosomal RNA", at positions 28 to 507 of the family's 1533-position model. The record is from RNAcentral.